Molecule: long non-coding RNA, 303 nt
Organism: Cyanistes caeruleus (blue tit)
Lineage: Eukaryota; Metazoa; Chordata; Aves; Passeriformes; Paridae
Source: RefSeq, a predicted model, not a curated record
UCUGAAUGGAGCUUCACAGAGAGAUGCUCCACCAGAGCAGAUGUCUGUAAACAGGAGCAGGGCUCACACAUACUCCAGGGAACCUCUAGAUGGAUAAGGGGAACAGACAGACACACUACUCCAGGGCUCAGGUGAAUAACAGCAAGAAUGAUCCAUGCAGGAAGGAAUCUCAGUAGAAUCAUGGUUUCAGAGCCAGAGGAACUGCUGCAGGUCAGAGAGCUUUGAUACCUGUGAUCACUUGUAUGCCAGCAGCACUGAGCAGCUCUCCCUCUUUGGACAAAUUAAAUACAACUCUUAAUCUAA